GAUGAACGCUGGCGGCGUGCCUAACACAUGCAAGUCGAGCGAUUCUCUUCGGAGAAGAGCGGCGGACGGGUGAGUAACGCGUGGGUAACCUGCCCUGUACACACGGAUAACAUACCGAAAGGUAUGCUAAUACGAGAUGAUAUGCUUUUAUCGCAUGGUAGAAGUAUCAAAGCUUUUGCGGUACAGGAUGGACCCGCGUCUGAUUAGCUAGUUGGUAAGGUAACGGGCUUACCAAGGCGACGAUCAGUAGCCGACCUGAGAGGGUGAUCGGCCACAUUGGAACUGAGACACGGUCCAAACUCCUACGGGAGGCAGCAGUGGGGAAUAUUGCACAAUGGGCGAAAGCCUGAUGCAGCAACGCCGCGUGAGCGAUGAAGGCCUUCGGGUCGUAAAGCUCUGUCCUCAAGGAAGAUAAUGACGGUACUUGAGGAGGAAGCCCCGGCUAACUACGUG
RNAcentral lists this ribosomal RNA (453 nucleotides) under uncultured bacterium. RNAcentral's name for it is "bacterial SSU rRNA". It matches the Rfam family "Bacterial small subunit ribosomal RNA", at positions 28 to 507 of the family's 1533-position model. The record is from RNAcentral.